This 78-nucleotide transfer RNA is filed under the name marine sediment metagenome. Its description in RNAcentral is "tRNA-OTHER". The record is from RNAcentral.
CGGCCCGUAGCUCAGAGAAAGAGCGCCCAGCGGGUUAACCCUUAAGGGAGGUCGGGGGUUAGAGUCCCUUCGGGCCGU